ACCUGACUUGCUCAGUCAGUAGAACAUGUGACUUUUGAUGUCAGAGUCAUGAGUUCAAGUCUCAUGUUGGGCA
Molecule: non-coding RNA, 73 nt
Organism: Ailuropoda melanoleuca (giant panda)
Lineage: Eukaryota; Metazoa; Chordata; Mammalia; Carnivora; Ursidae
Source: Rfam